This 257-nucleotide ribosomal RNA is filed under the name uncultured bacterium. RNAcentral's name for it is "partial 16S ribosomal RNA". It matches the Rfam family "Bacterial small subunit ribosomal RNA", at positions 524 to 776 of the family's 1533-position model. The record is from RNAcentral.
UACAUGGGGUGCAAACGUUGCUCGGAAUUAUUGGGCGUAAAGCGCACGUAGGCGGUUCGUUAAGUCGGAUGUGAAAGCCCUCGGCUCAACUGAGGAAGUGCACCCGAAACUGGCGAGCUUGAGUACGAAAGAGGAUCGCGGAAUUCCCGGUGUAGAGGUGAAAUUCGUAGAUAGUCGGGAGGAACACCGGUGGCGAAGGCGGCGAUCUGGGUCGAUACUGACGCGUGAGGUGGCGAAAGCAGUGGGGAGCAAACAGG